Long non-coding RNA from Oncorhynchus tshawytscha (Chinook salmon), 630 nucleotides. The record is from Ensembl. NCBI's taxonomy places the organism in Eukaryota, Metazoa, Chordata, Actinopteri, Salmoniformes, Salmonidae.
GAUAGAAAAGGGAGGGAGGCUCAUGACUAAUAUCCGUGAUAGGCUGUGGUGUGUGUGUGUGCGCGUGUGCGCGUGUGUGCGUGCGUGCGUGUGUGUAUCAGCUUUGUGUCAGCAGUGUAUCUGGCCGCUGUAACAAACGAUGUGAGCCGGCUGGGGCAGGAUGGGGCAGGAUGGAGCGAGGGAAUGAGAGGAGGAGGUGUCGGCUAGGGCAGGAUGGAAUGAGAGGAGGAGGUGUCGGCUAGGGCAGGAUGGAGCGAGGGAAUGAGAGGAGGAGGUGUCCGCUAGGGCAGGAUGGAAUGAGAGGAGGAGGUGUCGGCUAGGGCAGGAUGGAAUGAGAGGAGGAGGUGUCGGCUAGGGCAGGAUGGAGCGAGGGAAUGAGAGGAGGAGGUGUCGGCUGGGGCAGGAUGGAGCGAGGGAAUGAGAGGAGGAGGUGUCGGCUGGGGCAGGAUGGAAUUAGAGGAGGAGGUGUCGGCUGGGGCAGGAUGGAGCGAGGGAAUGAGAGGAGGAGGUGUCGGCUGGGGCAGGAUGGAAUUAGAGGAGGAGGUGUCGGCUGGGGCAGGAUGGAGCGAGGGAAUGAGAGGAGGAGGUGUCGGCUGGGGCAGGAUGGAAUUAGAGGAGGAGGUGUCGGCU